GACGCACGCUGGCGGCGUGCUUAACACAUGCAAGUCGAACGGAAAGGCCCUGCUUUUGUGGGGUGCUCGAGUGGCGAACGGGUGAGUAACACGUGAGUAACCUGCCCUUGACUUUGGGAUAACUUCAGGAAACUGGGGCUAAUACCGGAUAGGAGCUCCUGCUGCAUGGUGGGGGUUGGAAAGUUUCGGCGGUUGGGGAUGGACUCGCGGCUUAUCAGCUUGUUGAUGGGGUAGUGGCUUACCAAGGCUUUGACGGGUAGCCGGCCUGAGAGGGUGACCGGACUCAGUGGAACUGAGAUACGGGCGAGACUCCUACGGGGGGCAGCAGUGGGGAACAUUGCACAAUGGGCGGAAGCCUGAUGCAGCAUCGCCGCGUGCGGGAUGACGGCCUUAGGGUUGUAAACCGCUUUCGCCUGUGACGAAGCGUGAGUGACGGUAAUGGGUAAAGAAGCACCGGCUAACUACGUG
Molecule: ribosomal RNA, 468 nt
Filed under: uncultured bacterium
Lineage: Bacteria
Description: partial 16S ribosomal RNA
Rfam family: Bacterial small subunit ribosomal RNA
Source: RNAcentral